UACGUAGGGGGCAAGCGUUGUCCGGAUUUAUUGGGCGUAAAGAGCGUGUAGGCGGCUAGGUAGGUCCGUUGUGAAAACUCGAGGCUCAACCUCGAGACGCCGAUGGAAACCAUCUGGCUAGAGUCCGGAAGAGGAGAGUGGAAUUCCUGGUGUAGCGGUGAAAUGCGUAGAUAUCAGGAAGAACACCCGUGGCUAAGGCGGCUCUCUAGUACGGUACUGACGCUGAGACGCGAAAGCGUGGGGAGCGAACAGG
This 253-nucleotide ribosomal RNA is filed under the name uncultured bacterium. RNAcentral describes it as "partial 16S ribosomal RNA". It matches the Rfam family "Bacterial small subunit ribosomal RNA", at positions 524 to 776 of the family's 1533-position model. The record is from RNAcentral.